Molecule: long non-coding RNA, 783 nt
Organism: Impatiens glandulifera
Lineage: Eukaryota; Viridiplantae; Streptophyta; Magnoliopsida; Ericales; Balsaminaceae
Exons: 2
Source: RefSeq, a predicted model, not a curated record
GCAUGCAUUAUUGGCUAUGGAACUGAUGAUUCUAUUAACCAGGUUGAUCUCUUCAGCAAUGGGCAGGAGAGAUUCGCAACAAUGGAGAACAGAUAUGGAGUUUGAUAUGCUGGGAAGAACAUUCUCCUUCAGGUCAGCAACUAUGGCAACACCCAUCUUCUUCAAAACACAAAAUCUUCACACACACACACACGCAGAGAGAGAGAGUUUCAAGCAACCCAACUCUCUCUCUAUCUCUCUCCUCUUUUUGAGUGUGGGGGAAACACAGACGUGCAUGGAAUGGAAAAUGCAGAAAGCUUAAAAUUUAAUGGGCAGGCUGGUUCAACAGAAAUCUAACUUUUCAUACAUAAUUUAACUCCCUGAGGCUGAGGGGAUAGAUUGAUGAUAUAAAGUGUGAGAUGACAUGUUUUUGUUUUUGUGGGAGAGAUUGCAGGAUUCCGUCAUGUUGCAAUGCUUUAGGGGUCUGUAAUCAUGAUGACUCUCGUCAAAGCAACCCAAAAAGUCUACCUUAUAAAAAUCCCUAAAAUUAUGUGUAAAGCUAACUUAAAGUUUGGGGGGACAAUUAAGAAGCUGAGCUGUAUAGCCUGCAAUUGCAUGCUAUCAUGAUUAACCAUUGCUAAGGAAUUAAACACAGCUAAUUAAUAAAUAGCCUAAAUAUUUGUAUUAUUAGUUUAAAAUAGAGAUAGAUGCAUAUGUUAACUAACAGAAUGACUAGGAAAUUACACGUCCAAAACUGUCCCUGUGUACUCACAGUUUGAAUAACAGGCUUGUUUCCUUUUUCCC